This 485-nucleotide ribosomal RNA is filed under the name uncultured bacterium. RNAcentral's name for it is "bacterial SSU rRNA". It matches the Rfam family "Bacterial small subunit ribosomal RNA", at positions 15 to 507 of the family's 1533-position model. The record is from RNAcentral.
GAUCAUGGCUCAGAUUGAACGCUGGCGGUAUGCCUAACACAUGCAAGUCGAGCGGGGUUUUCGGACCUAGCGGCGGACGGGUGAGUAAUGCGUAGGAAGCUACCCGAUAGAGGGGGAUACCAGUUGGAAACGACUGUUAAUACCGCAUAAUGUCUACGGACCAAAGUGUGGGACCUUCGGGCCACAUGCUAUCGGAUGCGCCUACGUGGGAUUAGCUAGUUGGUGGGGUAGUGGCUCACCAAGGCGACGAUCCCUAGCUGGUUUGAGAGGAUGAUCAGCCACACUGGAACUGAGACACGGUCCAGACUCCUACGGGAGGCAGCAGUGGGGAAUAUUGGACAAUGGGCGCAAGCCUGAUCCAGCCAUGCCGCGUGUGUGAAGAAGGCCUUCGGGUUGUAAAGCACUUUCAGCGAGGAGGAAGGGGUGAGUGUUAAUAGUACUCAUCUUUGACGUUACUCGCAGAAGAAGCACCGGCUAACUCUGUG